ACUCCUACGGGAGGCAGCAGUGGGGAAUAUUGGACAAUGGGCGAAAGCCUGAUCCAGCCAUGCCGCGUGUGUGAAGAAGGUCUUCGGAUUGUAAAGCACUUUAAGUUGGGAGGAAGGGCAGUUACCUAAUACGUGAUUGUUUUGACGUUACCGACAGAAUAAGCACCGGCUAACUCUGUGCCAGCAGCCGCGGUAAUACAGAGGGUGCAAGCGUUAAUCGGAAUUACUGGGCGUAAAGCGCGCGUAGGUGGUUAGUUAAGUUGGAUGUGAAAUCCCCCGGGCUCAACCUGGGAACUGCAUUCAAAACUGACUGACUAGAGUAUGGUAGAGGGUGGUGGAAUUUCCUGUGUAGCGGUGAAAUGCGUAGAUAUAGGAAGGAACACCAGUGGCGAAGGCGACCACCUGGACUGAUACUGACACUGAGGUGCGAAAGCGUGGGAGCAAACAGGAUUAGAUACCCCUGGUAGCGACUGA
RNAcentral lists this ribosomal RNA (474 nucleotides) under uncultured bacterium. Its description in RNAcentral is "bacterial SSU rRNA". It matches the Rfam family "Bacterial small subunit ribosomal RNA", at positions 335 to 803 of the family's 1533-position model. The record is from RNAcentral.